GACGAACGCUGGCGGCGUGCCUAAUACAUGCAAGUCGAGCGAGCUUGCCUAGAUGAAUUUGGUGCUUGCACCAAAUGAAACUAGAUACAAGCGAGCGGCGGACGGGUGAGUAACACGUGGGUAACCUGCCCAAGAGACUGGGAUAACACCUGGAAACAGAUGCUAAUACCGGAUAACAACACUAGACGCAUGUCUAGAGUUUAAAAGAUGGUUCUGCUAUCACUCUUGGAUGGACCUGCGGUGCAUUAGCUAGUUGGUAAGGUAACGGCUUACCAAGGCAAUGAUGCAUAGCCGAGUUGAGAGACUGAUCGGCCACAUUGGGACUGAGACACGGCCCAAACUCCUACGGGAGGCAGCAGUAGGGAAUCUUCCACAAUGGACGCAAGUCUGAUGGAGCAACGCCGCGUGAGUGAAGAAGGGUUUCGGCUCGUAAAGCUCUGUUGGUAGUGAAGAAAGAUAGAGGUAGUAACUGGCCUUUAUUUGACGGUAAUUACUUAGAAAGUCACGGCUAACUACGUGCCAGCAGCCGCGGUAAUACGUAGGUGGCAAGCGUUGUCCGGAUUUAUUGGGCGUAAAGCGAGUGCAGGCGGUUCAAUAAGUCUGAUGUGAAAGCCUUCGGCUCAACCGGAGAAUUGCAUCAGAAACUGUUGAACUUGAGUGCAGAAGAGGAGAGUGGAACUCCAUGUGUAGCGGUGGAAUGCGUAGAUAUAUGGAAGAACACCAGUGGCGAAGGCGGCUCUCUGGU
RNAcentral lists this ribosomal RNA (745 nucleotides) under uncultured Bacilli bacterium. RNAcentral describes it as "bacterial SSU rRNA". It matches the Rfam family "Bacterial small subunit ribosomal RNA", at positions 28 to 733 of the family's 1533-position model. Lineage: Bacteria; Bacillati; Bacillota; Bacilli. The record is from RNAcentral.